This 253-nucleotide ribosomal RNA is filed under the name uncultured bacterium. Its description in RNAcentral is "partial 16S ribosomal RNA". It matches the Rfam family "Bacterial small subunit ribosomal RNA", at positions 524 to 776 of the family's 1533-position model. The record is from RNAcentral.
UACGGAGGGUGCAAGCGUUAUCCGGAAUCACUGGGUUUAAAGGGUGCGUAGGCGGCUAAAUAAGUCAGAGGUGAAAGCUUGCAGCUUAACUGCGAAAUUGCCUUUGAUACUGUAUAGCUUGAAAGGAGCUGAGGUCAGCAGAAUGUGGCAUGUAGCGGUGAAAUGCAUAGAGAUGCCAGAGAAUACCAAUUGCGAAGGCAGCUGGCUGGGCUUACUUUGACGCUGAGGCACGAAAGAGUGGGGAUCGAACGGG